UACGUAGGGUGCAAGCGUUGUCCGGAAUUAUUGGGCGUAAAGAGCGUGUAGGCGGCCUGUUAAGUCUUGCGUGAAAUCUCGGGGCUUAACCCCGAGCCUGCAGUGGAUACGGGCAGACUAGAGGUAGGUAGGGGAGAAUGGAAUUCCUGGUGUAGCGGUGAAAUGCGCAGAUAUCAGGAGGAACACCGGUGGCGAAGGCGGUUCUCUGGGCCUUACCUGACACUGAGGAGCGAAAGCGUGGGGAGCGAACAGG
RNAcentral lists this ribosomal RNA (253 nucleotides) under uncultured bacterium. RNAcentral describes it as "partial 16S ribosomal RNA". It matches the Rfam family "Bacterial small subunit ribosomal RNA", at positions 524 to 776 of the family's 1533-position model. The record is from RNAcentral.